This 113-nucleotide ribosomal RNA is filed under the name Nannospalax galili (Upper Galilee mountains blind mole rat). The record is from RNAcentral. Lineage: Eukaryota; Metazoa; Chordata; Mammalia; Rodentia; Spalacidae.
AUUUACAACCAUACUACCCUGACCUUGCUCAAUCUUGUCUAAUCUUAGAAGUUAAGCAGGGUCAGGCUGGGUUAGAACUUGAAUGGGAGAGGGGGAGUUUUGCUUUGAAAAUG